GUGAAUCAUCGAAUUUUUGAACGCAAAUUGCACUCUCCGGUUUUCCGGGAGAGUAUGCCUGUUUGAGGGUCAGCCUAAAAAAAAUCGACAUAGUUGCUGGUUCGCGGUGACAUUCGUCGGAAAUUUGGUCAUCUUAAAUUUUGGUGUUUUAAGCGGCUUAAUAUUUUCUUUACAAUUCCACGAACGUUUCUAAGAUUUUACUUCUUACACACGUAUAAGGUAUCGAUCUUUAUUAGACGUGUCUGCUGCAUCGGAUCGCGUCCAUAAAUAUCUUGACA
This 278-nucleotide unclassified non-coding RNA is filed under the name Glomus sp. Its description in RNAcentral is "partial contains 5.8S ribosomal RNA and internal transcribed spacer 2". The stretch from base 1 to 72 matches the Rfam family "5.8S ribosomal RNA", at positions 84 to 154 of the family's 154-position model. The record is from RNAcentral. Lineage: Eukaryota; Fungi; Glomeromycota; Glomeromycetes; Glomerales; Glomeraceae.